GUGAAUCAUCAAAUCUUUGAACGCACAUUGCACUCUCCGGUUUUCCGGGAGAGUAUGCCUGUUUGAGGGUCAGCCUAAAAAAAAUCGACAUCGUUUCUGUUUCGCGGUGGCGUUCGUCGGAAAUUGGGUCAUCUUAAAUCCUUUUGGUUUUUAAGCGACUUAAAAUUUUCUUUUUGGUUCCAUGAACGUUUCUAAGAUUUUUCUUGUACGUUUAAGGUAUCGACUGUCUUAUGAGACGUGGCGGUCAUAUCGGAUCGUGUCAAUAAUUUUUGUCGUUAACUGACCUAAGACAGGUAAUAGA
Molecule: unclassified non-coding RNA, 301 nt
Filed under: Glomus sp.
Lineage: Eukaryota; Fungi; Glomeromycota; Glomeromycetes; Glomerales; Glomeraceae
Description: partial contains 5.8S ribosomal RNA and internal transcribed spacer 2
Rfam family: 5.8S ribosomal RNA (bases 1-72)
Source: RNAcentral